This 761-nucleotide long non-coding RNA is filed under the name Monodelphis domestica (gray short-tailed opossum). RNAcentral's name for it is "lncRNA (ENSMODG00000040893.1)". The record is from RNAcentral. Lineage: Eukaryota; Metazoa; Chordata; Mammalia; Didelphimorphia; Didelphidae.
GUUCAAUCAGUUGCUAAGUCUUGCAUUCUAUUCAUAUCUUCACAUUUAACUGUUAUUCCAUCUCCAUUACUGAUGAGGUCAUAUUGAGGGUGUCAUAUUGACUUGAUGGGUAUGAGGUACUGGCUAAGAAAUCUAUGAACCAGAAGGCUAUGAAGUGAACUAUGAUGAAUGAUGAAAGUCAAAAGAUAUAAUGUAGGUGCUGCCAGGGAGGGCCCAGUUGAAGCAAGAUGAUAUGAAUUUGCAUGUUCACGGUUAAUAUGAUCGUGGGACUUCCUCCAAAGGUGUUGACCAGCAGAUUUCUUGAAGAUGAAGAUGAAGCCUGUCCAACCACUUUCAUAUACAGGCAUACUUCAGAGAUAUUGACGGUUCAGUUUCAGAUACCUGAAAAUGGCAAACAUUGCAGUAAACUCACCAAUUCUCUCUAUGGAGGUGAAUAACAUUGUUCAUGGAGUCCUUUGUAAGUAUCUUCGAUCAUGUAUUGAUAAGAGUAGCUAAGAUUUUUACAGUUGAUCAUUAUAAUAUUGCUGUCAAUGUAUACAAUUCCCCCUACUUCUGCUCACUUUGCUUUGUAUCAGCUCAUAUAAGUCUUCCCAGGUUUUCCUGAAAAAUCCUGGUUUAUCAUUUCUUACAGCUUAUACUAUUCCAUCACAAUAAUCAUAUGUCAUGACUUGUUCGGCCAUUCCUCAGCUUAUGGGCAUCCUUCAGUUUCUAGUUCUUUGACACCACAAAGAGCUGCUAUAAAUAUUUUUGUACAAGUAGAU